RNAcentral lists this ribosomal RNA (408 nucleotides) under uncultured bacterium. RNAcentral's name for it is "bacterial SSU rRNA". It matches the Rfam family "Bacterial small subunit ribosomal RNA", at positions 354 to 777 of the family's 1533-position model. The record is from RNAcentral.
GUGGGGAAUAUUGGUCAAUGGGGGGAACCCUGAACCAGCGACGCCGCGUGAGGGAAGAAGGUCUUCGGAUUGUAAACCUCUGUCUUUGGGGACGAACGAAAUGACGGUACCCAAGGAGGAAGCCACGGCUAACUACGUGCCAGCAGCCGCGGUAAUACGUAGGUGGCAAGCGUUGUCCGGAAUUACUGGGUGUAAAGGGAGCGUAGGCGGGGCGGCAAGCAAAAUGUGAAACUGAUCGGCUCAACCGGUCAUUGCGUUUUGAACUGUCGCUCUUGAGUGAAGUAGAGGCAGGCGGAAUUCCUAGUGUAGCGGUGAAAUGCGUAGAUAUUAGGAGGAACACCAGUGGCGAAGGCGGCCUGCUGGGCUUUUACUGACGCUGAGGCUCGAAAGUGUGGGUAGCAAACAGGA